This 682-nucleotide long non-coding RNA is filed under the name Neogale vison (American mink). Its description in RNAcentral is "Neovison vison (American mink) lncRNA (ENSNVIG00000013488.1)". The record is from RNAcentral. Lineage: Eukaryota; Metazoa; Chordata; Mammalia; Carnivora; Mustelidae.
CCUGAAGCAAAUAAAUAAAUCUUUAAGGAAAGGGGGUCUGAAAAAUCCCUUAAAGAGCCACCAAGAAGAGCACAGAGGACAUGGACUGGGGGGUUCGCCCUGUGCAGAAAAGUGCGUGAAAGACAUCAUCCGCCAGGGGGUCAGGGCUCCGUCCGGCGUGGGCCACAUGCCCAUCUCGCCCGCACACAGGCCGGCCGGGAGGGCCGAGCGCGCGGCGUACGCGAGAAGCGGCCCAAGGCUCGCCGGCACCUCCCUUCCCAAACCCAGGUUCGCUCCGCGCAGGCGCGCUUCUCCGCGUUCCGGCGCUCCGAACGCGCAACGAAACCGCCCCAAGAUCCCCUCACCUCCCCUUCGCGUCAAGGAGGCAGAAACGCGGGGGAAACCUCGGUUACGACAACCUCGUCGUUUAGCGGAGCCCGAGCGCCCGUUUCAUGGAAGACGUACCCGACGGUGCGUGAGGGAAGCCUGCCUCCGUCACCCACCCGAUGAACGGAAACACCAGGCAGGCACAGAACACUUGAACGCGCGCCUUUGUCAUCAAGACACUUACUCUGACUUCGUCCUCAGGACCUUGGAACCUCAAGCCAGAUUCUGUUGCCCACCUAGAACUUGGAAUAGAGCAGUGCAUGAUGGACAGAGGGCUCUCCCAAGAUUCCCGCCUAGAAAGGAAGAAGAGACCUAA